Labeo rohita (rohu) is the source of this 4448-nucleotide long non-coding RNA. RefSeq lists it as uncharacterized. The record is from RefSeq and is a predicted model, not a curated record. The transcript is spliced from 2 exons. NCBI's taxonomy places the organism in Eukaryota, Metazoa, Chordata, Actinopteri, Cypriniformes, Cyprinidae.
CCCUCAAUCCGACACUAUAAGUACUCUGGCAGUCCGUCUCCAGUGUAUGACUGACUGUUUAGAGGGAGAGAAAGAAAGCGAGAGAGAGAGUGGGAGGGGGCGGUAGAGAGUUUAAAUUCACUGACAGUGAUAACAAUGAUAUUAUUCGUUCUCCGCUGAAACGGGGAAGCACUUUCAGAGAAUACGGCACGCUUCCUCUGUCUCUAUCGCUUUAAGAGUGUUACUGAUUAGUCGCUAAAGAAUGCGAGUGGAAAGAGAGAGAGAGAGAAAAAAGGGACAGAGGCAGAAGGGAGAGACAGACUGAGAGCGCUGGAGCCUGGAACUCGUAUGGAGAAGACUGAUAAUACCGAGCUGAGUAGAGUUUUGUUUUAUUUUCCAGCAGUACGGAGACGUUAAUGGAGCUCUCGCUCUCGCUCUCUGUGCUUGCGGCUCCUGAAGAGGCUGGACGAAGGGGGAAGUCGGGGACCCCGCACAUGCAGGCAGCUCUCAGCCAUCAGGAAAUACUCUUUUCACCCAGACAGAGGUUAUUCAGAAUCUUCUCAGAUCACAUGAUGCUCCAUGUCUUCAUUUCAAUUUAGGUGAGCACAUACAUCAUUUAAUUUUGCAGCUAAUUUCCUGCCUCACUGCAUUUGCCAGCUUCUUCAGUACCUUCAGUCUUGUGGAUGCACAUUAUAAAAAAAAUGUGGUAAAAAAAUAAAUUCCAGUCUAACACAUUUUAAACAGUGUUGAACUCAAUAGAAAUUUUUCAUAGGCUGUCAGCUUCCACAUCAGUAUCUGCCGCAAAGCCAUUACACUUUAACUUGCCAUCACAUUUUAUCUGAAAUGUGCAGAAAUGUCUGCUGCAGCACUUUAGCUCAGAACUUUAGUAUCUACAAUACAAGCCGUGUCUUAUGUGCUGACUAGCAGGCCCUUGGGCUGAGCAGUGACUGUGGAAGGUUAUGAAUGGAAUGUGCCGGAAUUUUCCUAAUGUUUACAGGUCAUUCAUGUGAAGUCGCGGGCUGGGGCUUCUCCUUAGGGGCAGACAAUAGUGUUGCAGCAGGAAGCGCAUACCUCCCUCGAGAGCCCCACGGCACGCUCCCCCACCCCGUUGUAGCGCCACACACAAGAAAAUAAAAAACGGAGCAAAUUAGGAAGGCUUGACAGGGUGGUAGACGCAUGCAUAUUUGUAGCUUUAUCCCAGGAAUUGUUUAGUUUACUUAAAGCGUGGCUUUUGUGAUUCACGCUUUACAAAGCGUUUGUUCGUGCAUUUAAUUUUCAGAGCCUGUUGUUGGUGCUGCCAGCAAAAGUACAAUAGGAAUGUAAAUGGAACAGAAUGAAACAAUAUAGCUGUCAACAUCAGCUGUCAGUCUGGAAAUGAAACAGCAAAUUUUGACAGAAUUUUUAAACUCUAGAAUCCAAAGCAGUUCACGGUCAGACAGUCAGUUUUUCAUUUAAACUGCCUAAUCAUAAUUCUAGCAUUGCAUAAACUAAGCCCACGUUUACAAGACACAACAACACAGAGAUCCAUUCUACAAGCACCAUUCUAUUAAGGCUCUCACAUGACAGUUCACUGCUCACUAAAUGGCCUUAACUGUUUCAUAAACACUCUCUUACAAAAGAGUACUGUGUCCGUACCAUGGUACAGUGAUGGUAUCUGGUCGUACUUUGAUAUGUGGGUCAAUGGUAUGACACUCAGUUUUUGGUUUUAUCUUUAAUUUAUCUUUUUGUCUGUCAAUGCUGCUGUUCAAAAGAUUGAGUUACUAAGGUUUUUUUUUACAAAUCCGUUAUGUUAGUGAAUAUAUUAGUGAAAUAAUAGUGGAAUAUUAAUAUAUUUUAAAAUGUAAGCCAUUCCUGUGAUGGCAAAGCUGAAUUUUAGCAGUCUUCAGUGCUACAGGAUCCUUCAGAAAUGAUUCUAAUAUGCUGAUGGGUGUUUAAGAAACACUUCUUAUGUUGAAAGCAGCUGUGCUGCUUAAUAUUUUUGUGGAAACUGAAAUAGAAAAUUAAAAAUGAACAGUAUUUAUUUCGAACAGACAUCUUUUGUAACAAUGCAAAUGUCUUUGCUGUCACUUUUGAUUUAAUGCAUCUUAGCUGAAUUAAAGUUCAUUUUGAUAUAUUGGUAACGCUUUGCGUUUUCCCUCAAUAAACUGCUAAUUUGCCGCUUAUUAAUAGUUAGUAAGGUAGUUGUUAAGUUUAGGUAUUGGGUUAGGGUAAGGGAUCUAGUAUAUGAUCAUACAGAAUAAAGCAUUAAUAUGUGCCUAGUAAUUACUAAUAAACAAUAAAUAUGUUAGUAAUAUGCAUGCUAAUAAGCAACUAUUUAAUCCUGAGAACAGGUCCUUAAAAUGAAGUGUUACUGGUAUUUUUAGGGUUGUUUUAGAAUGUAAAAUGUAAAACAUAAUGAUAUUUAUUAUGUAUGAAUGUGAUGAUGUAAAAAAUAUAUUUAUGAAUUAUAUUUUUGGGUGGAAAAUAACUAAAUAAUUAUUAUCCGAUGGUUACGCCACCAUUUUUUUUUCAUGGGCACAAUUAUUGGUAUUCCUUGACCCAUAUACUGGAUACUGAAUGAUUACCAUUAAUUUACUCUGCUAUUUACAUGGUACUUCAAGGUAAUUGAUAGAUCAUUUGGUAGGCAAAUUUACCCCCAAAUGGCCAUACUUUUCCCAUUCUGGAAUCAACCAGAUUCAAAUUACUCAACUGGAAGUCGAUCCAUUGUCUCUUUUUCGAUAAAUAUCGUCAUUAGCUCUCCAAACUUAUGCUGUCACUGUCCCACAGUUUAAUCAGACUCCUUACAGAAGGCCAAAUGCUGACAGUGAGCACAGACCACUGGAAUUCAGGUUAGGAAUGAACUCCCUAAUGGAGAAAAAUUGGAGUCAAGUGACCAUCAGCUGGUCGAAGGAUGUUUGAUCAAUACAGUCACAAGGUCUCAGGUAUGCAGGGCUGGAGCCUUUACAGGAGGGUGCAAAGACAGCCUACAGUCUCUGCGCGCUUCUGUCAGUCAAACGGCAAACGAUUAUGCUUUAUUGCUAACCAGUACAAUAAUCUUGUGCAUAAAUGGCCUUACACUCUCAGCAUCCUUGCCAACAGGAAGUAUUUAGUGCUAUGUGAGUCACUCUCUUUUGUUUGUCUGGCUGAGGAUGAUUUAAUUAGUCGACGACCCAAUCAAAGUGCACCUUUGGCGGCUAACAAGCACCCACUUCUAAUUAAUAAGACUUGAAUUGAGCGCUCUGACUGAUGUAGCCUAAUGCGUGCCAAACCACUAAGUGGAUUCGGGAAAUAAUAGUUUGCAAACCCAAGCUUACAUUUUCAUGAUAUCUAACCAUUCUCAGGUCAAAAGAAAAGCUUUAUGAUGCCAUUUGUUAUGAGAAAAAUGCACCAAGCAGGUCUGGUUAGGCUAAAAGGGUGUGAUGAGCACCUUUAAAAGGCACUGGAGCCAUGGCCUCUGUCUGCCGUCCUGCCUCCAGGCUAAUGGGAAAGAAUGAGAAAUAUUUGCGAGAGUGCUAACGCCAUGCUUAAAAAUGCCCAUCGGGAGAUUAGCUCCCCCUCCCCGGUGCUGCCUGUCUGCAAAAAGGAGGGCUGUUGUCGUCCUCCGGCGCUGCAGACACUUUGAUUUGGGGUUGUCUAACCAUUCGCUUCUUUGUCUCUGUCUUCCUCAGGCGCUGAGGACGGCUCAAGUGGACGACCGCUGCCAGUGGAUUGUUAGGGUGCUCAUGAGGUGCUCAGUAGUCAGUGUAGAUCCUGUGUUGCAAUCAGCAGCUACAUCUGGCUACUGGGUCUCUGAUGGCAUUUUCUGCUUCCUGUUGGCACAUUCCUUUCAGAUUGUGUGGUAUGUUAUCACAAUGUGUGCCUCAUCCUGUCAGAAUAGGACUCGCUCUUUCAUGGACGUUAAAGAGGGCCCUUGUCAUAACAGGUCUGGUGGUGUUUUCGCACCUUUAGCCUAGUUUGUUGUGGAUUUUUCUUCUUUUUUUUCUUAAAAAAUGCGAUCAAGGUGAGUAAGCUGUCAAAGUGUAGCUAAAAGUCACGAGAAGCCAUUUCAGGCAUUUUUGAAAGAAAGGACUGAGACAUUGUUUCUUGUUUGACUGCUGAAGAUUCAGUUUAAGUGAUUAGGUAACAAAGGACAAGGCGACAUGUCACAUUCUCUUUGUGAUUUGCCUGUCACAAGGGGCUGUCUUUGUGCAAAUGUUUUUGAGUUGUUGAAGGCUGACAAAUAAUGAGAGUUAAACGCGCAGACGCGCGUCGGUUUCGAAGAGCGAAGGAUGAAUUCUUUUGUGCUGUCGUGAACCUGGCAUACAAUGUAGAUUUCUGUGUGGUACAAUCUACAGCUACAUUGUCUGCUGGGUUUCAGGCCAGCAGAGAAAUUCUGCUCGGCUCAGAAACCGAAAAGGUGAGUCGUUACGUCGUUGCGCGUGCUUGAAAAAGACUUAUUCCUCCUACUAUGUGAAUAAAAUACAAUAAAAGUCCUGAAAGUAUAAAAACUA